GCUGAUCUCUCUGCUUGCACCAAAGCUGAAUCGCCAGGUUCCGUGCCCCCACCUCCAGGAGUGCCAGGAAAUGAUGGCAGCAGAAUGGCGUGGACUGGAUUUUCUGGCUUGCUCUUAUUAUGGGUCUCUUCUCUAUUUUAUUAGGCCACUUGCCACCAACAUUGGACUUUGAAGAUAUGAUUAUUAUAAUAAUUAAUAGUAAUAUAUACGUAUAUACAUACGUGAUGAUGAGAUCAUUCAUGCAUUAGGGAGCUGUAUUACUAUUUCCAUCAGUUGGAGAUUUUGUUAUUCUCUUGUUUAAUAUCCCAUUUAUUUGAACAUUGUUGUCGCUGUAUUUCUCCUAUUUGUUAUA
Molecule: unclassified non-coding RNA, 352 nt
Filed under: Hevea brasiliensis (rubber tree)
Lineage: Eukaryota; Viridiplantae; Streptophyta; Magnoliopsida; Malpighiales; Euphorbiaceae
Source: RNAcentral